RNAcentral lists this ribosomal RNA (357 nucleotides) under Ircinia variabilis. RNAcentral describes it as "eukaryotic LSU rRNA". It matches the Rfam family "Eukaryotic large subunit ribosomal RNA", at positions 1 to 353 of the family's 3401-position model. Lineage: Eukaryota; Metazoa; Porifera; Demospongiae; Dictyoceratida; Irciniidae. The record is from RNAcentral.
GACCUCGGAUCAGGCCAGGCUACCCGCUGAAUUUAAGCAUAUUAAUAAGCGGAGGAAAAGAAACUAACAAGGAUUCCCUCAGUAACGGCGAGCGAAGCGGGAAUAGCUCAAAUUUGAAAUCUCCGGUGCGUGCACCGGCGAAUUGUAGUCUGUAGGGCCAGUUUCGCCCGAGACGGUGUCCCCAAAGUCGUCCUGGAAAGGCGGGCCGGAGAGGGUGAGAGCCCCGUGCGCGGGGGCACCGUCGGAGGUAAGAGCUGUGCCCGAAGAGUCGGGUUGUUUGGGAUUGCAGCCCAAAAUGGGUGGUAAACUCCAUCUAAAGCUAAAUACUGGCACGAGACCGAUAGCGAACAAGUACCG